AAUGAUGACCACAUUAGUUUGUAGCUCUCUUGUUCACAGAGUUGCCACAGACUCGUCCUUUAUUUGGCAACUCAGUGUUGCGUCCUGCAUUGAGCCAACACGGGACGAGAUUUGCUCCGUAUGUCUCUUUAAAUAAACAUGUUCAAAGACAACUAUGUAUUUUUAUGUGUUUCAGUUAGUUACAAAAGUAACAUUAAGUUAUCAAUUUCUUUAGUUUGUAUUUUUAAUGUUGCACAUUUCACACAAACAGAUUUCGUGUAAGGUUUUAUUAACUGCACUUCAUGAGAGAAGGAGUUCGUUAGUAACACAGCAUUUCAAGUUUUAACUUUGACUAAUUGCGUUCUUGAUUAACACUUUACUAAAAACACCGGAAUAAACUAAAACAAACGCCCCGCCCACUGGAGUCGGGCCAAUCAAGUUGUUCCCGGUGGAUACGUCACAAGGAUGCUGGAAACAGGAAAAAAUGGUCGCGGCGGGUGACGUCAGACGCCGAAAAAGUUUGCUGCGUGCAUAACAAGCCACAGGUGUAGCCAGUUGUUCUUGUUGGCGGCUCGACCAGGUCCGGAUAUGAGGCUCAGAUAGAAAGAAUUGGUGGGAUUUCUGUGCACGGAGACCAGGUCAAAGUUGUCCAGUGUCAGAGUGAACCCCUGAAAGUGAAAGAUAAGAUUGCUCAUCCUGAAGAUCUUCAGCACAGUAAGGAGCGUUGUUUUAUUUCCUUUUAUGCUCUACCAGGACGCCGUUCCUUGCUAAAUGUGUGUGUUUGAAUGUGUUACACACAGCAGUACAAGGCCUCUUGGCUGCCGUGCGUACUCGUCUCCUUCAUGUUCCAGUCUCUCCGGAAUGUUUUUACCUUCUUAAUGUAGGGUUCUCUGGUUUAUAUCAUUGAAACGUUCUAUAGUUUAGAUGUCCUGUUUGCGGUCUGUUUUUUGGACGUUGUGGUUGUUUUCCACAGUUUUGGGAUGUUGCUGUAAUUUUCCACAAUUUGGAUGUCCCAAUUGUGGCCCUUUUCCAAAGUCUUGGAUGUUUCGGUUGCAGUCCAGAGUGACUACCUGGAUUCUAGCUAGUCCAGGACUUGCCUUGUACUUUUAUCUUUAUGUAUAUUUGUGCGAUUACGGUCUGUGAUGUCGUUCUGUAUGCACUUGGCCACCUCUGGUCUCCAUUGUCCGCAUGACCCUCCAUCUUGAUCAGCUUUAUCUGUGGUGUGACCUUUUGGAUUGGUUUAGGGCUGAGUGAUUUGGCAGUGAUUGGCAGAUGGCAUUCACCUGUGUUGGUUUAAUUUACUGGUGUUCAGUCGGGGUUAAUUGUGUUGAAGUGUUCUAUGAUCAGUGUAGGUGGGUGGGUAAUUUAAGACAUGAAAUAUUUUCUCCACUUGAAACCACUGCAGUAUACUGUAGUAAGCCAGCUAAAAUUGGUAAAAAAAAAAAUUGUCGCACAUGAAUACUAUGCAGUGCGAUGCUUCAUUUAUCCACUGCCUUGUUGCUGUGCUUCAUUCCUUGGUUUGUUUAGUGUGACGUUCCUGAAAAGCAUGUAGCUGUCGAUAAAGAACAGAAGA
Molecule: long non-coding RNA, 1552 nt
Organism: Cynoglossus semilaevis (tongue sole)
Lineage: Eukaryota; Metazoa; Chordata; Actinopteri; Pleuronectiformes; Cynoglossidae
Exons: 3
Source: RefSeq, a predicted model, not a curated record